RNAcentral lists this ribosomal RNA (253 nucleotides) under uncultured bacterium. RNAcentral describes it as "partial 16S ribosomal RNA". It matches the Rfam family "Bacterial small subunit ribosomal RNA", at positions 524 to 776 of the family's 1533-position model. The record is from RNAcentral.
UACGAAGGGUGCAAGCGUUAAUCGGAAUUACUGGGCGUAAAGCGUGCGUAGGCGGUUUGUCGCGUCGGGAGUGAAAUCCACUGGCUUAACUGGUGGCUUGCUUUCGAUACGGGCAGACUGGAGGUAUGCAGGGGAGAACGGAAUUCCUGGUGUAGCGGUGAAAUGCGCAGAUAUCAGGAGGAACACCGGUGGCGAAGGCGGUUCCCUGGGCAUGUCCUGACGCUGAGGAGCGAAAGUGUGGGGAGCGAACAGG